CGGGGAUUAGUUCAGAUGGCCAGAACGUACGCUUUGGGAGCGUAAGGUCGCCGGUUCAAGUCCGGCAUCCCCGACCA
This 77-nucleotide transfer RNA is filed under the name Microgenomates group bacterium. RNAcentral describes it as "tRNA-Pro". It matches the Rfam family "tRNA". From Rfam's summary of the family: Transfer RNA (tRNA) molecules are approximately 80 nucleotides in length. Their secondary structure includes four short double-helical elements and three loops (D, anti-codon, and T loops). The record is from RNAcentral.